Triticum aestivum (bread wheat) is the source of this 115-nucleotide non-coding RNA. Lineage: Eukaryota; Viridiplantae; Streptophyta; Magnoliopsida; Poales; Poaceae. The record is from Rfam.
CAAGUACUCCCUCCGUCCGGAAAUACUUGUCCUCGAAAUGGUUGUAUCUAGACUUAUUUUAGUUAUAGAUACGUCCAUUUCGAGGACAAGUAUUUCCGGAAUGAGGGAGUAUUAG